UACGUAGGGGGCAAGCGUUAUCCGGAAUUACUGGGUGUAAAGGGUGCGUAGGCGGCACGCCAAGUCAGUUGUGAAACCCGUAGGCUCAACCUACGGCUUGCAAUUGAAACUGGCGAGCUAGAGUACAGGAGAGGAAAGCGGAAUUCCUAGUGUAGCGGUGAAAUGCGUAGAUAUUAGGAAGAACACCGGUGGCGAGGGCGGCUUUCUGGACUGAAACUGACGCUGAGGCACGAAAGCGUGGGGAGCAAACAGG
This 253-nucleotide ribosomal RNA is filed under the name uncultured bacterium. RNAcentral describes it as "partial 16S ribosomal RNA". It matches the Rfam family "Bacterial small subunit ribosomal RNA", at positions 524 to 776 of the family's 1533-position model. The record is from RNAcentral.